UACAGAGGUCUCAACCGUUGUUCGGAUUCAUUGGGCGUAAAGGGUGCGUAGGCGGCCGGGUAAGUCGGAUGUGAAAUCUCAGGGCUCAACCCUGAAACUGCAUUCGAUACUGCCUGGCUAGGGUACUGGAGAGGAGACUGGAAUUUACGGUGUAGCAGUGAAAUGCGUAGAUAUCGUAAGGAAGACCAGUGGCGAAGGCGAGUCUCUGGACAGUUACCGACGCUGAGGCACGAAGGUCAGGGGAGCAAACGGG
This 253-nucleotide ribosomal RNA is filed under the name uncultured bacterium. Its description in RNAcentral is "partial 16S ribosomal RNA". It matches the Rfam family "Bacterial small subunit ribosomal RNA", at positions 524 to 776 of the family's 1533-position model. The record is from RNAcentral.